AAAGGCCGAUGAUGAUUGAAAGUUUUGCCUACAUUGUCUGAUUAUACAAUGAUACAUCACUCUUUGUAUCUGAGGCCUAU
Molecule: small nucleolar RNA, 80 nt
Organism: Amaranthus tricolor (Joseph's coat)
Lineage: Eukaryota; Viridiplantae; Streptophyta; Magnoliopsida; Caryophyllales; Amaranthaceae
Product: small nucleolar RNA SNORD34
Exons: 1
Source: RefSeq, a predicted model, not a curated record